Molecule: long non-coding RNA, 385 nt
Organism: Pipistrellus kuhlii (Kuhl's pipistrelle)
Lineage: Eukaryota; Metazoa; Chordata; Mammalia; Chiroptera; Vespertilionidae
Exons: 2
Source: RefSeq, a predicted model, not a curated record
AAAAUAUAGAAAUAAAUAUUCCCACACAUUAAUAUUGUUGGCUUAUAAAAAGAAAACAUUUAAAACAGCUCAACUGUUAAAUUACAGUAUAAUCUAUAAUAGAAUAUUAAUACACACCCAUUAAAAAUAAAGUUUUUAAAAAAUAUUUUCUCUGAUGUGGAAAUCAGUAAGUUUCACCCCCAAAAAAGCAGAUAUAAAACUAUGUUGUAUACUUAGGAUUUUCAGCAGUGUUUUUUUUGUUUUUUAUCAUAAAAAAGUUGGAAGGAAAUACUAUGCCAAAAUAUUGUCACAUGUCCCUCAGGAUGAUAGAAUUAUGGAUAUUUUCCUUUUUUUUACUCUUAUGCACUUUUCAGCUUCUUACAAAAAGAGUAUAUGACUAACAAGU